This 275-nucleotide ribosomal RNA is filed under the name uncultured eukaryote. Its description in RNAcentral is "partial Bacterial large subunit ribosomal RNA". It matches the Rfam family "Bacterial large subunit ribosomal RNA", at positions 2584 to 2867 of the family's 2925-position model. The record is from RNAcentral.
CCAAUUAAAGUGAAACAUGAGCUGGGUUCAGAACGCCGUGAGGCAGUUUGGUUUCUAUCUACUAAUAUUUGAAGAAAAUUUGAAAAAAUAAACCUUAGUACGAGAGGACUGGGAAAAGUAAACCUCUUGUUUAACGGCUGUUCUUUUGUAGAGCAUUGUCGUAUAGCUACGUUUAUAUUAGAUAAUCACUGAACGCAUUUAAGUGAGAAAUUAUUUUUAAGGCCUGUUUUCUAUUAAAAGAGUCGUGAACACCGAUCACGUAAUUAGGUACUGCG